GGGUUCCGGCCAUGUGGUGCUUACCUCAGGCGCUCCCAGUUGGCAGCGCAGCAGGGCUAAGGCAGGCUGCCUACCUGCCCUGGCUCCGUGCUGCUCCAGGAAGUGGCCGGCAUGUCCGGCCCCUAGGUGGAAGCACAGCCAGGCGGCUCUGCGCAGUGUGCCCUUUUUUUUUUUUUUAUUUAAAGAGCUCUGGCUAUCAUCCCCAGGUGGCUGGGGCUCGUGAAGAAAGGCCGUGCACACCCAGGAGGUAGGGAUAAACGGGACAGCUGGAGCCCUGCCACCCGGACUUAGGCUCUCCUUCCCCUCCCACAAUCCUUCCUCUGGAAGCAGCAGGACUCUGGCUGUCAGCCCCAGGGUUGCAGCAGCAGCACAGAAGUAAGGGUGGCAAUUGGGAUCUAAGUCUGUGGUGAAAAGUGAUAUUGAUGAAUAUCACUUUUCACAUUGCCAUCCUUACUUCUGGGUUGCUGCUGGUGCGGCACUGCCCUCAGAGGUGAGUGGCAGUAUAUGUACUUGUGGGGGAGGAGACAGGACAUAAACAACUACAGACACAAGGAAUGGGGGCCGAAUCAAAUAAGUCUGAGAACUAAUGAACUAGAGAAUACAAACCUCUCCCAUGUUACCUUGCACUGGCAUUUUUAAAAUAUUGAUUUUCAUUCAUGGCACCUUUAAUGUGCCGUACUGCUAUUGGACACAUUUGUGAUAGAACUGCCAUUCCUAACAUUUCUUCUUUCUACAUUCCAGAAUCAUAAGGCCCAUUUACCAUAACUCCAUUCACUUGUCAAGCACUGAUACCUUGCAAUAUUGUAUUAAGUAUUUAAAAACUUCUUUUUGAAUAUAUUAAUAGUUGCAGUUUCACUUCUGCCUUUGGUAGCCUGUUAAAGGUUCUUUAUAUAGUAUACCCUGAUUUUAAGUAAUCACCAUUUAGGAUCCAGUCAUGAAUGCACUGAGCACCCUGAACACCCACUGAAGACCAUCAGGCCUUCAGUGAUGAGUCUUUCUUUAGCUUCAGUUUAUAUCCUCUUGUUUUUGAGCUAGUGAUCUUCCUGAGUACUUUUUGUGGCAUCUACUUUCCUUAUUUCUCUCUGUAGUGGGUUGGUGGUCAUCCCUCCCCCUCAGGCUUGGAGGUAGGCAACUCCGAUUCACUAUAUCACAGCAGUCAAAGUCCUUCAGCAGAGGAAUUAGCACAUCACCAGUCCAUAGCCCUGGCCCUUUAGGCAGAACCUGUCAACAAUCAGUCCUUAGCCUAGCCUCCUGGCUAGGGCAGACAGCAUGUACAAUCUGAUGCUCUGGCCCUCUGGUCAGGGCAGAGCAAGGAACAGUCUUUAACUCAGCCACCUUCUGGCUAGGGCAGGCAGCGAUCAACACAAUCAGGACCAUGAUCCUCUGGGUGGGACAGGGCAAUAGGCAGUCUUUAGCCCAGCCCUCUGGUCGGGGCAGACAGCAAUCAAUAGAGUCAGGGCUCUGCAGUGAUGCUGAAACAAUUUUUAUAGUGAGGGUGCUGAAGGCGGAAUCCAUGUAUUUGGGUUGUUAUUACUACUUCAAGCCAGGUGGUGCAGCAGCACCCCUAGUUCCAGCACCUAUGGGGCUCUGACCCUCUGGGUGGGGCAGAGCAACAGCAGUCUAAUGCCCAGCAGAUAGCAGACAAACACAGGCUGUUCGGCCUAAGGGUGGGGAGGCUGCCACCUCAGGGGUGGGAUUGGCAGAACGGGUAGGGGGUCCCAGCCCAGGGCCCUAAUAGUGAUGGGUCAGCAGGGAUCCUGCUGAAACACAGUGACUCGCACUCUGACAGCAAAACUGGACUAAAAACUGUUUUCUCUGAGCUACUUUCUACCAUAGUCCAAGGAUAGGGCUCCAUAGUCCACGGGUCCUCCAUUUCCUUUGGGUACUUGGCAGCUGGCAAUCCUAGCAGCUCCUUGGGGUACUCAUCAGAUGGCAGUCCUGGCAGCUCCUCAGGUUCUCCUCUAGGAGUAGGGGUUGGUUCAUCUCAGUCCCUGCUCCAGGGCCAGCAGCAAAGCAGAGGCAUCUGACUCCUUCCCUGUUCUCUCCCAACUGAGCUGGUCCAGGCUCUACCUCUUAUACUUCCUGUCCCAGCUCUCGUUUCUGGUGCAAGAUCCAGGCUCGCUCCAACCACCAGGGGGCGGUGAGUGGUCCCUCCCCACCAGGCUCGGCAGGAGGCCACUCUACCUCACUACAUUCUCAAAUUUUAUUUUCUUAAAUCCAGACGCAGAGCCCAAUCUUGUAUUUCUUGCACACUCAAAACUCUUGCUGACUUGAAUGAGAGUUUUGGGAAGAAAAAGCAUGCCCAUUCAGACUGCUGAAUCCACAGUUUGCAUAUGCCUGCUGUUUUUCACUGGCCCUGUUUGUAAUCCACAGUCAGAAAUUGGAAAAAUUAAUUGAACGACUUAAUCUAAGACAAAAUUUUAUUAGUUCUUCAAUUCAGAUUCAUAAGUAGCUAAUUUUAUUUAAUGUAUUAAAAUAGAAAAAAAAAGGCAAUAUUUUGGUCCAGAUCCUAGCCCCUGCUCUGACUCCUUUGUGUUACCAGAGUAUCACAAAGGGCCUAGAAAGUGUUAGCAUUCCCCCAAGAACUCUUCCACUUAGUUCCUCAGGAACUCAGUUUGACUCCAGUCUUGUCACUCAGGUUCUUUUAUUUGGCAUACAGCAAAGCUACACUGUGUAGAUUAGAUUCAAGUGUAGAGCGGUGGGUAUAGGGCGUACCACACAUCCAAAGUUACACAGGAAAACUUUACCUUAUAUCCAUUUUUACUAACACUAAUAACAUACGAAUUCUUAACUAUACAUUGUAUCCUAUGCUUCCUGAUGGGCUUGGUUAUUUUUUAGGAACCAAUCCCUGGGCAGCAUGCUCUCUCCAUGUAUAACCUGAUUUUUACAUUUUAGGUUUAUCUUGUCCGUUGACCCUAGCUCCAGGGUGUUCCUGCUUAUCUUAGCUAGCAACAGACAUCCUGACUCCAGCACACUGCUUGUUAAACCCCUAUUAACAACUUAACCUUUUAUACCAUGUAGACUAAGAAAUGAGGUCUUACUUAUGUCAAGUUACUGAUGCCCAGCCAGGCCUACAGAAAGCUGCUUUAUAAGAGCAGCUAAGGGAGGAUUAAAUCCCCAUCUAUAAUCGAACUCCCCCAGCAUAGGGUGAGUAUUGGGGGAUGGUGGAGAUUCUAUUUCAAUGAUCCUUGCCUAGCAUAAUAGCCCCGAGGGGAUUGUUACAAGUUGCUAGAAUUUAAAGUAUCCUGAAUAGAGUUCUAAGGCAGCUGAGGAUCUGGCCUUUUAUGUGGUGGUAAGAAAAAUCCAUAUUUGGAUAUAUGCAUAAUUUCAGUGCACAGUAGCUCACUCACAUGUGGGAAAUAAAAAGAUGUAUUAGUGGCAACAUACAUUUUUAUCUGCAGAGAAUAUAGUAUUCCAUAUUUAUUAUAAUAAUUAACAAUGUGAGUAACUGCUCUGUGUUGUAUCAUGAGUUUGUUUACAGACUAACAAUAAUCUUGAUAUUCUUAAAAGUAGGACUGAACUCAAGAUUAAGUAUGUAUGAGCAACACAUGCCAUCAUAGAUAAAUUAUAUAUAUCAUUGGCCAUGUAAAGACUGCAGGAACAGGCCCUAAAAGUAAAAAGUGUAGUGCUUUAGCAGCUUCCGCUCAUAUAACUGCAGCAACUUAAACUAACUGUCUGAGCUCUAGUGGAAAAACAUUUUUUUUUCCAGAAACAAAACACUUUGUUCUUAUGUUUUUAAUUGAGUGAUAGAAAAAUACUUCUGUGUGGUCAUUCUUGCUAGGAGAGUCAAACCCACAACAUUUUCCAUUUUGCACUGUUUAUUUCUUUCUUGGCUAGAAGAUGCCUUUAUGAACUGGAUUUAUAAACUAUUAGGCUGAGGGGAUAGAAUGUUUUCUAGAAAGGUUCAUUCAGCAGUAUAUUACAGCUUCAAGGAGUGCCUUCUAACUAUGUUUGUUUUUCAAAAGAAAAAACCUGGCUAGUUAAUUGAAGCAGAGCCAAAUUCACUGCACAAAUUACUUUGGGGAAAUCAAUAGUAUUACUCCAGGGAUUAGUUUGGCCCUUUAGUUUUUGGAAUAUGUCUGAUUGUGGUCUCUUGAAACUAGGUUGUUUAUAGGUAGAAGUUACAUGAUUCCCAACUUUUUGUCUGGAAAAAAUAUGAAAAGAAUAGACAAUAUUUUUACUGAGCUAUUUGAGAACACAUUUCUGGCUAUGCAUUCAGGACUAAAUAAGGAGCAAGUUCUGUGCUAAAAAUAGAAACUGAGGCUGGUCCAGCUGCAGCAUGAGUUGUAAUCCUUGUAGAUUUAAGGGGGAAGGAUGGUUGGUUCAUGUGAGGACAUCGUAAUAUGGAGACUCAAAAUCACCUUUGUCUUGUUCCUAGAAGGCCAUCAUAUCCUACCUGAUGUCUUAAACUUUGCUGCCUGUUAGCAGAAUGGUAUCGAAUUAUAACAGCAGUUUGUUUGAUCUACUACUUCACAGAUAGGAAAAUACUUUUUAAGAUUUUAGGGAAAAUUAUGACUUGUUUUAUGUAGGUUUGCUUGUGUGGAGGACAUGGGGAAAAGGGCAGAGACUUGGUACCUUCACAAGAACUGGGCAGAAUACGUAUCUAGCGCUCCCUUGAGAAUUAUGCUAGCAUGCCUGCCAAUGCUCCAGGUAUCGAAGAGGGCAUAGUCAGCCAACUUGGGGGUUUGGCCAGGUCUCUAACCCUCUUCACAAAUGCUGCUGUUGGCAGCAGGUACAAAGGAAUUGGUGAUGCUGCUCCUUUUGGGAACAGCCAUAAGGAGCACUGCAGAAUGCAUUGCUUGCCCACUGAUCUCCUCGCCGACCUACCCUUUGUCAGCAGCAUGAUUCUCAAAUUACCUUGCCGUGUAUUCCCCGAUAUUUAUCGAAUGGUUACCGUGUACUGGUUCUGUUUGGGAAACGUAACCAUUAAAUGUUUGGGUUAUAAUCAGGUCCCUGUGGACUCUAGUGCAGAGCAAGUUUGAUCUAAAUUCUGCUGCAUUCCAGACUGAAAAUGCUGCAUUAGCUUCAGAUAAUUCAUUAAAAUCUACAUCUAAAAAUUUAAGUAUGUGAAAAUGAAUUCCAUCAGAAGUGUGUCCUCACCACUAUUUUAAUUUGAUAUUAAAUUAAAUUUUAUGCUGUUCCUACAUUUUUAAUUUUCAGUGAGCUUCAGAAUUUUAUAUUGAAAAUAAUAUGUAACGUAUGUAUUUUGACAUGUUGAUUACAGAAUUUGUCAAGGAAGCUGAAAUUUUGGUAAUGGAGUAGGAGACAGUUGGACAGGAGUGCCAUUUGCGGAGGGCGGGGGGAGCACCUGCCCCCCUUUCCGAGUUUCGAAGCACAUUUGGGUGAAGUCUGCAGCAGGAGGAAAAAUGCUGUACCUUCCCCCCUCCUCCCCGCUGCCCUGCUUUGCUGCCCUCUGCAGCUGCACUGCUCCUGCCCCCUGCCAUGGAGCCUCCAGUGGCUUCACUGCUUGGGACCAGGAGCCUGCCUCCUGAUCUGCUGUGUACAUCUAUACGGGAGCUGAUGUUGGGGUGUCCCUCUAUCUCUUCCCGCGUCCUCAGUCUCCACUAAGUGGGGUGGGAGGGACAGAGAGCCUGCCUGUGCUGCUGCCUUUGGCUCAGGAGUGGGUGCUGCUGCUGUACUGAGCAAGCAUUCAGGCUCCUGAGUGUUUGGCUUAAAGAGACAGCAUGCUGACACUCAGGCACACAUACAGUCUUCCACACGCACUCCCCCCAACACAUGCUCUCUCUCUCUCUCUGUGUCUCUCCCACACACACAGAGUCUCCCUCACACACUUCCCCAACACACACACGCACACACACACACACACACACACAUGUGUUAUUAUUAUUGUUGUCAUUACUUCUUGAUACUUCCAGUCAAAAUGUGCAAUGCACAUCUAUUUUCUGUAAUUUUAUUCUUUCAAAGUUUGUUAAGGCUUAAAGUACUGUUAUUUUAGUUACAGUAGUUAUAUUUAGUUUUUUGACUCAUCUGUGCAUUUCAUUACUUUAUUUCUCUUUUAUGCUUAAAUGUAAUUCUUUGAGUAGUGAGUUCUAAAAUACCUAACCUGUCCUGGCUUGGGUAAUUAUCAUAAUUACUUUUAUUACCAUAUUGUGCUUCGUCAUUCAUUAUUUAAAAGUGGUACAAUCAAAUAAUAGUAUCCUUCUAGAAUGUAAAUUUAGCUUGUACUCAACCUAGCAUUGCCAGUUUAAAAAAAAAUUUAGCUAAACACAUAACUUUAGACACUGUGCAACUGCAGAUCACUUAUUUUCAAAUUGUAUUUUAGUUAUAUAUGUAAAAUUAAAUUUGAUUGAAAAUAAAUGUGGUUCCAAGUCUGAUACUAAUAGUAAUGAUGAGUUGGUGUUAUGUUGGUGAGUUACAUACAUGAUUGUGAUCAGCAAACAUAAAUUCCAAAAUAAUUAGAAAAAUAAUUCCUGUUCUUAAUAAAAGAGAAAAAAACUUAAUCACAUACUUUAAAAUUAAAUAAAUAUAUGUUUAGUGGAGUGAAAAACAAUUGACUAAAAUAGAGGCAGUAACACAGAGUGUGUCUGUUAGAAAAAGUAAGCAGAUUUUAAUUAUUUUAAUUUAUCUCUACUAAAGAUAGUGUACAAAGUAUCAAACCUGUGUUUCUGAUAUCUGUGUUAAAGCCCCAGAACGGGUAUCUCCAGGUUUGGGAUUGGGAAUAUCUUGCUGUAUUAAAUCUCCUGAUUGUUCUAAAUAUAAUAUAAACAUAAAAUAUGGCUUUAAUUGGUGUUUGUGUAUAUUUUUUCUUUCUUUAUAUAGGUACAGUGCUCCUGUCAGCUAAUUUCUAAGUUAUUAGCUGUAAAAAACCUAGAGCUUUCAGGUGCCUUCAUAGCCCCUGGAAUCACAAAGCUCCCCCUCCCCAAAAAUCUGAAAUGGUGCCCCUGCAGUUGUACCUUUUGACAUCUGGGAAAGUGUGAAAAGACGGUUUGAAUUUAACCUAAUCACAAUAUCUUCCCUUAUCUCUGUGAACCAUAUGAUAGUCAUGGACAGCAGCCAAAAGUCUGCCUUCGUCAAAUGGUUUAUUAUUUCAAAGAACAAUGUGGCAUUAAGGCAACUCAUCUUCUAUUAUUCAAAACAUAUUCAAAAUGCUACAUAUUCAAAAUGCAGGUAAGUACAAUGUAUGAUACACUAUUGAGUGAUAAGGGUUGUGCUAUUACAGAAAUGAUAGGAGAUAACACUGACAUUAUAUCGGGAUAAAUAAGUCAGUGGUUCCAUAUGGAUUCCUAUUUUUACUGUUAAUUUUUAAGUUAAUAAAACAUAGGCCUUAAUUCUACAAAUGCAAACAGUCUCAGAACUAUGGGAACUAAUGGGAGUAAAUGGUUAAUGAUAUGUGUCAGUAGGGCUUUCAGGAUCUGGCCAGACUUAAUGAUGUAAGAAAUUGAGGGGCUGGGGUUAAAAAAAAGUAUAUAGGAAAAACAUCCUUUUGGGUAUGAAUUAGCUCCAGUGCAAAAAUGGUUUCCUAGUAAUGAGUUACUUCUUAUUAUUUGUAUUCUGAUAGUGCACAAUCUGCUAGGCACGUUCUAAGCACACAGGAAAGUACAUUUGUUCUCCUGAACCGAUAGUAAUCUACAAAGCAAACAACAUAUGAAUGGCAGGGAAGAGGAAGACAAUCAGAACAUGUACAGGUGUAUACUUUU
Molecule: long non-coding RNA, 7658 nt
Organism: Dermochelys coriacea (leatherback sea turtle)
Lineage: Eukaryota; Metazoa; Chordata; Testudines; Dermochelyidae
Exons: 2
Source: RefSeq, a predicted model, not a curated record